UAGAUCGGAAGUGAGAAUGUUGACAUGAGUAGCGAUAAAGAGGGUGAGAGACCCUCUCGCCGAAAGUCCAAGGGUUCCUGCUUAAAGCUAAUCUGAGCAGGGUAAGCCGGCCCCUAAGGCGAGGCCGAAAGGCGUAGUCGAUGGGAACCACGUUAAUAUUCGUGGGCCAGGAGAUGGUGACGGAUUGCAGAGGUAGUUCUUCCUUAUUGGAUUGGAAGGGCUGCUGAGUGGUCCCUGGAAAUAGCCCUCCAAAGACCGUACCCUAAACCGACACAGGUGGACUGGUAGAGAAUACCAAGGCGCUUGAGAGAACCACAUUUAAGGAACUCGGCAAAAUGCCUCCGUAAGUUCGCGAGAAGGAGGCCCCGUUGGUACGCAAGUAUCGGCGGGGGGCACAAACUAGGGGGUGGCGACUGUUUACUAAAAACACAGGGCUCUGCGAAGUCGUAAGACGACGUAUAGGGUCUGACGCCUGCCCGGUGCUGGAAGGUUAAAAGGAGAGGUGCAAGCUUUGAAUUGAAGCCCCAGUAAACGGCGGCCGUAACUAUAACGGUCCUAAGGUAGCGAAAUUCCUUGUCGGGUAAGUUCCGACCUGCACGAAUGGCGUAACGACUUCCCCGCUGUCUCAAAUGUGGACUCAGCGAAAUUGAACUGUCUGUCAAGAUGCAGACUUCCCGCGGUUAGACGGAAAGACCCCAUGCACCUUUACUCUAGCUUCGCACUGGCAUCAGGAUUGCGAUGUGCAGGAUAGGUGGUAGGCUUUGAAGCGGGAACGCUAGUUUCCGUGGAGCCAUCCUUGAGAUACCACCCUUCGCACUCUUGAUGUCUAACCGCGGCCCGUUAUCCGGGUCCGGGACCCUGCGUGGUGGGGAGUUUGACUGGGGCGGUCGCCUCCCAAAGUGUAACGGAGGCGCGCGAAGGUUGGCUCAGACCGGUCGGAAAUCGGUCGUUGAGUGCAAUGGCAUAAGCCAGCCUGACUGUAAGACUGACACGUCGAACAGAGACGAAAGUCGGCCAUAGUGAUCCGGUGGUCCCAAGUGGGAGGGCCAUCGCUCAACGGAUAAAAGGUACGCUGGGGAUAACAGGCUGAUGAUGCCCAAGAGUCCAUAUCGACGGCAUCGUUUGGCACCUCGAUGUCGGCUCAUCUCAUCCUGGGGCUGGAGCAGGUCCCAAGGGUAUGGCUGUUCGCCAUUUAAAGAGGUACGUGAGCUGGGUUUAGAACGUCGUGAGACAGUUCGGUCCCUAUCUGCCGUGGGUGUAGGAGACUUGAGAAGAGUUGCCCCUAGUACGAGAGGACCGGGGUGAACGGACCACUGGUGGACCAGUUAUCGUGCCAACGGUAGUGCUGGGUAGCUAUGUUCGGACAGGAUAACCGCUGAAGGCAUCUAAGCGGGAAGCCCCCUUCAAAACAAGGUCUCCCUUGAGAGCCGUGGAAGACCACCACGUCGAUAGGCCAGAGGUGUAAGAGCAGCAAUGCUUUCAGCUGACUGAUACUAAUUGCUU
This 1503-nucleotide ribosomal RNA is filed under the name metagenome. RNAcentral describes it as "bacterial LSU rRNA". It matches the Rfam family "Bacterial large subunit ribosomal RNA", at positions 1278 to 2910 of the family's 2925-position model. The record is from RNAcentral.